GUGGGGAAUAUUGGACAAUGGGCGCAAGCCUGAUCCAGCAAUGCCGCGUGGGUGAAGAAGGCCUUCGGGUUGUAAAGCUCUUUAGUCCACGAAUAUAAUGACUGUAGUGGAAGAAUAAGCCCCGGCUAACUUCGUGCCAGCAGCCGCGGUAAUACGAAGGGGGCGAGCGUUAUUCGGAAUCACUGGGCGUAAAGCGUGCGUAGGCUGUUUUGUAAGUCAGAAGUGAAAGCCCAGGGCUUAACCCUGGAAUUGCUUUUGAAACUACAAGACUCGAAUUCGGGAGAGGAUAGCGGAAUUGUCAGUGUAGCAGUGAAAUGCGUAGAUAUUGACAGGAACACCAGUGGCGCAAGCGGCUAUCUGGACCGAUAUUGACGCUGAGGCACGAAAGCGUGGGGAGCAAACAGGAUUAGAAACCCGAGUAGUCC
RNAcentral lists this ribosomal RNA (425 nucleotides) under uncultured bacterium. RNAcentral's name for it is "bacterial SSU rRNA". It matches the Rfam family "Bacterial small subunit ribosomal RNA", at positions 354 to 796 of the family's 1533-position model. The record is from RNAcentral.